UUAAACUGCCCUGAAAACUCAGUCCUCUGAGCUUCAUACUAGUUUUAGGUUUGGAAUCUUCCUGUUUGUGAACAGUUUGUUUCUCCCUCAGUAAAACAUUUCUAUCCGGUAAAGCUCUCUAAAUUUUCUUUUAACCGUUGUUGUCAGAAGUAGAAUGGGAAGAAGAGCCCUGAAGAAAACCCCAAAGCUGGAUUUCUUUCCGCUGCGGCGCCACGGGAACUCCUACGCUCAGAGAUUUCUGGUCGAUCUGGUAUCCCAGCUCUGUUGCCUUUGUCUUCUGCUCUCGGAUUUCGUUAAGGCACCUUUAUGGAAGCUUCAAAAGGGCCUCACCCACGGCAUAUGGAGAUUCCCAGAAUGGGAGUCUAUUCAGAGCUGUACUGCAGUCAAAGAAAUGCCAGAUCAGAACCAGAUCUGUGAAAUUACAUCACAGUUCAUGGCAGUGCUUGAUCUUAACCCACUGAGAGAGACCAAGGAUCGAACCUGAAACCUCAUGGUUCCUAGUCCGAUGCAUGAUGGAUCUAGGGCAGGUAAGUAGCAACCUUGUCAUGGGGAGCGGUCAAAUAUUUGAUCACCUAAUGCUGUCUACCUAAGGAUUGAUGAGCAAAGGAAGAAAAUGACUAUAUACAAUAUUAAUAAGGAACAAUGACCUACUGUAUAGCAUGGAGAAACCUAGUCAAUACUCUGCGAUGGCCUAUGUGGGACGAGAAUCUGAAAAAGAAUGGAUAUAUGUAUGUGUAUGACUGAUUCGCUUUGCUGUACACCGGAAGCUAACACAGCAUUGUAAGUCAGCUAUGCUGGCAUGAAACAGUUUUACUGUAUUGGAGUGGAAUAAGUGGAAAUACACUGUUCUGAUGAAAAACUGGGAAGAAAACCAAAACUAAGUUAAAGUGCACCAAAAUGUAUCCUUUUGAUUGAAAAACAUAGUGGGAGGAAAACAAAAAAAAAAAAAAAAAAAAAAAAAAGAAGGGAGAAAAUAGGAAGAAAUCGUUCUAAUGAAAAAUUGUAAGCGGGGGGUGGGGGUGGGGAGAGAAGUGUGCAUAUUGAAAUGUAUCAUUCUGAUAAAACAAACAGAAAACAGUAACAAAACGGACUGUGAGGAAAAGAAACCCCAAAAGUAAUAGUAAAAGAGCGAGAACCGAAAUAAAUCGUUGCAAUGAAAAAUCAUAAACAGAGGCGAAAAUGAAAGAGAAAAAAGCAGUGUGAAUUGGAAUUCAUUCUUUUUUGAUGGAAACCCGGGAUCUGAGCCGGGUCUCCGACCUGCUCGACCCACACCACAGCUCGAGGCAACACAGCGGUGAUCCUUAUACGUAACCAAUUUUUCAGCAGUGUCUGAAGGAAGGAAACUGCAAAGUUUUGAAAUACUCAUUGUUUGAAUGUAAAAGAAAGGGAUAUUGAUGUUGCUAUGCUGAAAACAAGAAAGGAUUUUCUCUGGUCCUUGACACAGAGAUGCCAACAUAAGAAACACUUUUUGUGACAUCCAUUCGGUUGGACCGGUUUUUUUUGUUUGUUGGUUGGUUUGUUUGUUUCCUUUGGCUCUGUAACACCCAAGAGAAUGGGUGCGUUUUGGGAUUCCGUAUGUAUAAAGUAAACGAUUCUCUUGCCCUAAGUUAUUUUUAGAAGAAAAAUGUAAUUGAACAGUUAUGGGCUGGGAAUAUAACAGUUGCGUUUUAAUAAUUGUUCUGAAGCAUAGAGAAUGGAAAGGUUGUCAUGUUCAGACUUGAUAACGCAACCAAAUGAUGCAAUUUGUACAUCCUUUGUGAGUACUGUGAGGGCCACUGAUGGGCCUGCUAAGAUCAACUUGGAACCUGGGGAGAAAAGGUCUGUUACAAAAGUUUAGGAUAAAACUUUGUUUUAUGAAGUCUGUACUAAUGUAGUUCUAAGGUAAAUUGUGAUUGGUUUGUUGGGGGUGGUGGUGAGAAGACGGAGAGAUAUGGUGGAUGGAGGGCAGGUAAGUAGCAACCUUGUCAUGGGGAGCGGUCAAAUAUUUGAUCACCUAAUGCUGUCUACCUAAGGAUUGAUGAGCAAAGGAAGAAAAUGACUAUAUACAAUAUUAAUAAGGAACAAUGACCUACUGUAUAGCAUGGAGAAACCUAGUCAAUACUCUGCGAUGGCCUAUGUGGGACGAGAAUCUGAAAAAGAAUGGAUAUAUGUAUGUGUAUGACUGAUUCGCUUUGCUGUACACCGGAAGCUAACACAGCAUUGUAAGUCAGCUAUGCUGGCAUGAAACAGUUUUACUGUAUUGGAAUGGAAUAAGUGGAAAUACACUGUUCUGAUGAAAAACUGGGAAGAAAACCAAAACUAAGUUAAAGUGCACCAAAAUGUAUCCUUUUGAUUGAAAAACAUAGUGGGAGGAAAACAAAAAAAAAAAAAAAAAAAGAAGGGAGAAAAUAGGAAGAAAUCGUUCUAAUGAAAAAUUGUAAGCGGGGGGUGGGGGUGGGGAGAGAAGUGUGCAUAUUGAAAUGUAUCAUUCUGAUAAAACAAACAGAAAACAGUAACAAAACGGACUGUGAGGAAAAGAAACCCCAAAAGUAAUAGUAAAAGAGCGAGAACCGAAAUAAAUCGUUGCAAUGAAAAAUCAUAAACAGAGGCGAAAAUGAAAGAGAAAAAAGCAGUGUGAAUUGGAAUUCAUUCUUUUUUGAUGGAAACCCGGGAUCUGAGCCGGGUCUCCGACCUGCUCGACCCACACCACAGCUCGAGGCAACACAGCGGUGAUCCUUAUACGUAACCAAUUUUUCAGCAGUGUCUGAAGGAAGGAAACUGCAAAGUUUUGAAAUACUCAUUGUUUGAAUGUAAAAGAAAGGGAUAUUGAUGUUGCUAUGCUGAAAACAAGAAAGGAUUUUCUCUGGUCCUUGACACAGAGAUGCCAACAUAAGAAACACUUUUUGUGACAUCCAUUCGGUUGGACCGGUUUUUUUUGUUUGUUGGUUGGUUUGUUUGUUUCCUUUGGCUCUGUAACACCCAAGAGAAUGGGUGCGUUUUGGGAUUCCGUAUGUAUAAAGUAAACGAUUCUCUUGCCCUAAGUUAUUUUUAGAAGAAAAAUGUAAUUGAACAGUUAUGGGCUGGGAAUAUAACAGUUGCGUUUUAAUAAUUGUUCUGAAGCAUAGAGAAUGGAAAGGUUGUCAUGUUCAGACUUGAUAACGCAACCAAAUGAUGCAAUUUGUACAUCCUUUGUGAGUACUGUGAGGGCCACUGAUGGGCCUGCUAAGAUCAACUUGGAACCUGGGGAGAAAAGGUCUGUUACAAAAGUUUAGGAUAAAACUUUGUUUUAUGAAGUCUGUACUAAUGUAGUUCUAAGGUAAAUUGUGAUUGGUUUGUUGGGGGUGGUGGUGAGAAGACGGAGAGAUAUGGUGGAUGGAGGGCAGGUAAGUAGCAACCUUGUCAUGGGGAGCGGUCAAAUAUUUGAUCACCUAAUGCUGUCUACCUAAGGAUUGAUGAGCAAAGGAAGAAAAUGACUAUAUACAAUAUUAAUAAGGAACAAUGACCUACUGUAUAGCAUGGAGAAACCUAGUCAAUACUCUGCGAUGGCCUAUGUGGGACGAGAAUCUGAAAAAGAAUGGAUAUAUGUAUGUGUAUGACUGAUUCGCUUUGCUGUACACCGGAAGCUAACACAGCAUUGUAAGUCAGCUAUGCUGGCAUGAAACAGUUUUACUGUAUUGGAGUGGAAUAAGUGGAAAUACACUGUUCUGAUGAAAAACUGGGAAGAAAACCAAAACUAAGUUAAAGUGCACCAAAAUGUAUCCUUUUGAUUGAAAAACAUAGUGGGAGGAAAACAAAAAAAAAAAAAAAAAGAAGGGAGAAAAUAGGAAGAAAUCGUUCUAAUGAAAAAUUGUAAGCGGGGGGUGGGGGUGGGGAGAGAAGUGUGCAUAUUGAAAUGUAUCAUUCUGAUAAAACAAACAGAAAACAGUAACAAAACGGACUGUGAGGAAAAGAAACCCCAAAAGUAAUAGUAAAAGAGCGAGAACCGAAAUAAAUCGUGGCAAUGAAAAAUCAUAAACAGAGGCGAAAAUGAAAGAGAAAAAAGCAGUGUGAAUUGGAAUUCAUUCUUUUUUGAUGGAAACCCGGGAUCUGAGCCGGGUCUCCGACCUGCUCGACCCACACCACAGCUCGAGGCAACACAGCGGUGAUCCUUAUACGUAACCAAUUUUUCAGCAGUGUCUGAAGGAAGGAAACUGCAAAGUUUUGAAAUACUCAUUGUUUGAAUGUAAAAGAAAGGGAUAUUGAUGUUGCUAUGCUGAAAACAAGAAAGGAUUUUCUCUGGUCCUUGACACAGAGAUGCCAACAUAAGAAACACUUUUUGUGACAUCCAUUCGGUUGGACCGGUUUUUUUUGUUUGUUGGUUGGUUUGUUUGUUUCCUUUGGCUCUGUAACACCCAAGAGAAUGGGUGCGUUUUGGGAUUCCGUAUGUAUAAAGUAAACGAUUCUCUUGCCCUAAGUUAUUUUUAGAAGAAAAAUGUAAUUGAACAGUUAUGGGCUGGGAAUAUAACAGUUGCGUUUUAAUAAUUGUUCUGAAGCAUAGAGAAUGGAAAGGUUGUCAUGUUCAGACUUGAUAACGCAACCAAAUGAUGCAAUUUGUACAUCCUUUGUGAGUACUGUGAGGGCCACUGAUGGGCCUGCUAAGAUCAACUUGGAACCUGGGGAGAAAAGGUCUGUUACAAAAGUUUAGGAUAAAACUUUGUUUUAUGAAGUCUGUACUAAUGUAGUUCUAAGGUAAAUUGUGAUUGGUUUGUUGGGGGUGGUGGUGAGAAGACGGAGAGAUAUGGUGGAUGGAGGGCAGGUAAGUAGCAACCUUGUCAUGGGGAGCGGUCAAAUAUUUGAUCACCUAAUGCUGUCUACCUAAGGAUUGAUGAGCAAAGGAAGAAAAUGACUAUAUACAAUAUUAAUAAGGAACAAUGACCUACUGUAUAGCAUGGAGAAACCUAGUCAAUACUCUGCGAUGGCCUAUGUGGGACGAGAAUCUGAAAAAGAAUGGAUAUAUGUAUGUGUAUGACUGAUUCGCUUUGCUGUACACCGGAAGCUAACACAGCAUUGUAAGUCAGCUAUGCUGGCAUGAAACAGUUUUACUGUACUGGAAUGGAAUAAGUGGAAAUACACUGUUCUGAUGAAAAACUGGGAAGAAAACCAAAACUAAGCUAAAGUGCACCAAAAUGUAUCCUUUUGAUUGAAAAACAUAGUGGGAGGAAAACAAAAAAAAAAAAAAAAAAAAAAAAAGAAGGGAGAAAAUAGGAAGAAAUCGUUCUAAUGAAAAAUUGUAAGCGGGGGGUGGGGGUGGGGAGAGAAGUGUGCAUAUUGAAAUGUAUCAUUCUGAUAAAACAAACAGAAAACAGUAACAAAACGGACUGUGAGGAAAAGAAACCCCAAAAGUAAUAGUAAAAGAGCGAGAACCGAAAUAAAUCGUUGCAAUGAAAAAUCAUAAACAGAGGCGAAAAUGAAAGAGAAAAAAGCAGUGUGAAUUGGAAUUCAUUCUUUUUUGAUGGAAACCCGGGAUCUGAGCCGGGUCUCCGACCUGCUCGACCCACACCACAGCUCGAGGCAACACAGCGGUGAUCCUUAUACGUAACCAAUUUUUCAGCAGUGUCUGAAGGAAGGAAACUGCAAAGUUUUGAAAUACUCAUUGUUUGAAUGUAAAAGAAAGGGAUAUUGAUGUUGCUAUGCUGAAAACAAGAAAGGAUUUUCUCUGGUCCUUGACACAGAGAUGCCAACAUAAGAAACACUUUUUGUGACAUCCAUUCGGUUGGACCGGUUUUUUUUUGUUUGUUGGUUGGUUUGUUUGUUUCCUUUGGCUCUGUAACACCCAAGAGAAUGGGUGCGUUUUGGGAUUCCGUAUGUAUAAAGUAAACGAUUCUCUUGCCCUAAGUUAUUUUUAGAAGAAAAAUGUAAUUGAACAGUUAUGGGCUGGGAAUAUAACAGUUGCGUUUUAAUAAUUGUUCUGAAGCAUAGAGAAUGGAAAGGUUGUCAUGUUCAGACUUGAUAACGCAACCAAAUGAUGCAAUUUGUACAUCCUUUGUGAGUACUGUGAGGGCCACUGAUGGGCCUGCUAAGAUCAACUUGGAACCUGGGGAGAAAAGGUCUGUUACAAAAGUUUAGGAUAAAACUUUUUUUUAUGAAGUCUGUACUAAUGUAGUUCUAAGGUAAAUUGUGAUUGGUUUGUUGGGGGUGGUGGUGAGAAGACGGAGAGAUAUGGUGGAUGGAGGGCAGGUAAGUAGCAACCUUGUCAUGGGGAGCGGUCAAAUAUUUGAUCACCUAAUGCUGUCUACCUAAGGAUUGAUGAGCAAAGGAAGAAAAUGACUAUAUACAAUAUUAAUAAGGAACAAUGACCUACUGUAUAGCAUGGAGAAACCUAGUCAAUACUCUGCGAUGGCCUAUGUGGGACGAGAAUCUGAAAAAGAAUGGAUAUAUGUAUGUGUAUGACUGAUUCGCUUUGCUGUACACCGGAAGCUAACACAGCAUUGUAAGUCAGCUAUGCUGGCAUGAAACAGUUUUACUGUAUUGGAAUGGAAUAAGUGGAAAUACACUGUUCUGAUGAAAAACUGGGAAGAAAACCAAAACUAAGCUAAAGUGCACCAAAAUGUAUCCUUUUGAUUGAAAAACAUAGUGGGAGGAAAACAAAAAAAAAAAAAAAGAAGGGAGAAAAUAGGAAGAAAUCGUUCUAAUGAAAAAUUGUAAGCGGGGGUGGGGGUGGGGAGAGAAGUGUGCAUAUUGAAAUGUAUCAUUCUGAUAAAACAAACAGAAAACAGUAACAAAACGGACUGUGAGGAAAAGAAACCCCAAAAGUAAUAGUAAAAGAGCGAGAACCGAAAUAAAUCGUUGCAAUGAAAAAUCAUAAACAGAGGCGAAAAUGAAAGAGAAAAAAGCAGUGUGAAUUGGAAUUCAUUCUUUUUGAUGGAAACCCGGGAUCUGAGCCGGGUCUCCGACCUGCUCGACCCACACCACAGCUCGAGGCAACACAGCGGUGAUCCUUAUACGUAACCAAUUUUUCAGCAGUGUCUGAAGGAAGGAAACUGCAAAGUUUUGAAAUACUCAUUGUUUGAAUGUAAAAGAAAGGGAUAUUGAUGUUGCUAUGCUGAAAACAAGAAAGGAUUUUCUCUGGUCCUUGACACAGAGAUGCCAACAUAAGAAACACUUUUUGUGACAUCCAUUCGGUUGGACCGGUUUUUUUUGUUUGUUGGUUGGUUUGUUUGUUUCCUUUGGCUCUGUAACACCCAAGAGAAUGGGUGCGUUUUGGGAUUCCGUAUGUAUAAAGUAAACGAUUCUCUUGCCCUAAGUUAUUUUUAGAAGAAAAAUGUAAUUGAACAGUUAUGGGCUGGGAAUAUAACAGUUGCGUUUUAAUAAUUGUUCUGAAGCAUAGAGAAUGGAAAGGUUGUCAUGUUCAGACUUGAUAACGCAACCAAAUGAUGCAAUUUGUACAUCCUUUGUGAGUACUGUGAGGGCCACUGAUGGGCCUGCUAAGAUCAACUUGGAACCUGGGGAGAAAAGGUCUGUUACAAAAGUUUAGGAUAAAACUUUGUUUUAUGAAGUCUGUACUAAUGUAGUUCUAAGGUAAAUUGUGAUUGGUUUGUUGGGGGUGGUGGUGAGAAGACGGAGAGAUAUGGUGGAUGGAGGGCAGGUAAGUAGCAACCUUGUCAUGGGGAGCGGUCAAAUAUUUGAUCACCUAAUGCUGUCUACCUAAGGAUUGAUGAGCAAAGGAAGAAAAUGACUAUAUACAAUAUUAAUAAGGAACAAUGACCUACUGUAUAGCAUGGAGAAACCUAGUCAAUACUCUGCGAUGGCCUAUGUGGGACGAGAAUCUGAAAAAGAAUGGAUAUAUGUAUGUGUAUGACUGAUUCGCUUUGCUGUACACCGGAAGCUAACACAGCAUUGUAAGUCAGCUAUGCUGGCAUGAAACAGUUUUACUGUAUUGGAAUGGAAUAAGUGGAAAUACACUGUUCUGAUGAAAAACUGGGAAGAAAACCAAAACUAAGUUAAAGUGCACCAAAAUGUAUCCUUUUGAUUGAAAAACAUAGUGGGAGGAAAACAAAAAAAAAAAAAAAAAAAAAAAAAAGAAGGGAGAAAAUAGGAAGAAAUCGUUCUAAUGAAAAAUUGUAAGCGGGGGGUGGGGGUGGGGAGAGAAGUGUGCAUAUUGAAAUGUAUCAUUCUGAUAAAACAAACAGAAAACAGUAACAAAACGGACUGUGAGGAAAAGAAACCCCAAAAGUAAUAGUAAAAGAGCGAGAACCGAAAUAAAUCGUUGCAAUGAAAAAUCAUAAACAGAGGCGAAAAUGAAAGAGAAAAAAGCAGUGUGAAUUGGAAUUCAUUCUUUUUUGAUGGAAACCCGGGAUCUGAGCCGGGUCUCCGACCUGCUCGACCCACACCACAGCUCGAGGCAACACAGCGGUGAUCCUUAUACGUAACCAAUUUUUCAGCAGUGUCUGAAGGAAGGAAACUGCAAAGUUUUGAAAUACUCAUUGUUUGAAUGUAAAAGAAAGGGAUAUUGAUGUUGCUAUGCUGAAAACAAGAAAGGAUUUUCUCUGGUCCUUGACACAGAGAUGCCAACAUAAGAAACACUUUUUGUGACAUCCAUUCGGUUGGACCGGUUUUUUUUUGUUUGUUGGUUGGUUUGUUUGUUUCCUUUGGCUCUGUAACACCCAAGAGAAUGGGUGCGUUUUGGGAUUCCGUAUGUAUAAAGUAAACGAUUCUCUUGCCCUAAGUUAUUUUUAGAAGAAAAAUGUAAUUGAACAGUUAUGGGCUGGGAAUAUAACAGUUGCGUUUUAAUAAUUGUUCUGAAGCAUAGAGAAUGGAAAGGUUGUCAUGUUCAGACUUGAUAACGCAACCAAAUGAUGCAAUUUGUACAUCCUUUGUGAGUACUGUGAGGGCCACUGAUGGGCCUGCUAAGAUCAACUUGGAACCUGGGGAGAAAAGGUCUGUUACAAAAGUUUAGGAUAAAACUUUGUUUUAUGAAGUCUGUACUAAUGUAGUUCUAAGGUAAAUUGUGAUUGGUUUGUUGGGGGUGGUGGUGAGAAGACGGAGAGAUAUGGUGGAUGGAGGGCAGGUAAGUAGCAACCUUGUCAUGGGGAGCGGUCAAAUAUUUGAUCACCUAAUGCUGUCUACCUAAGGAUUGAUGAGCAAAGGAAGAAAAUGACUAUAUACAAUAUUAAUAAGGAACAAUGACCUACUGUAUAGCAUGGAGAAACCUAGUCAAUACUCUGCGAUGGCCUAUGUGGGACGAGAAUCUGAAAAAGAAUGGAUAUAUGUAUGUGUAUGACUGAUUCGCUUUGCUGUACACCGGAAGCUAACACAGCAUUGUAAGUCAGCUAUGCUGGCAUGAAACAGUUUUACUGUAUUGGAAUGGAAUAAGUGGAAAUACACUGUUCUGAUGAAAAACUGGGAAGAAAACCAAAACUAAGUUAAAGUGCACCAAAAUGUAUCCUUUUGAUUGAAAAACAUAGUGGGAGGAAAACAAAAAAAAAAAAAAAAAAAAAAAAAAAAA
Molecule: non-coding RNA, 9463 nt
Organism: Sus scrofa (pig)
Lineage: Eukaryota; Metazoa; Chordata; Mammalia; Artiodactyla; Suidae
Source: RefSeq, a predicted model, not a curated record